GUAAGAUAGCUCAGUCAGUAAAACAUAAAACUCUUGAUCUCAGGGUCUUGGGUUCAAGCCCCAACUUGGGCA
Molecule: non-coding RNA, 72 nt
Organism: Podarcis lilfordi (Lilford's wall lizard)
Lineage: Eukaryota; Metazoa; Chordata; Lepidosauria; Squamata; Lacertidae
Source: the annotation of a GenBank genome assembly